Molecule: ribosomal RNA, 400 nt
Filed under: Flavobacteriaceae bacterium TMED116
Lineage: Bacteria; Pseudomonadati; Bacteroidota; Flavobacteriia; Flavobacteriales; Flavobacteriaceae
Description: bacterial SSU rRNA
Rfam family: Bacterial small subunit ribosomal RNA
Source: RNAcentral
UUUUACAACGAAGAGUUUGAUCCUGGCUCAGGAUGAACGCUAGCUGCAGGCUUAAUACAUGCAAGUCGAGGGGUAACAGAGAGUGCUUGCACUCUGCUGACGACCGGCGCACGGGUGCGUAACGCGUAUGCAACCUACCUUUUACAGAGGGAUACCCAAGAGAAAUUUUGAAUAAUACCUCAUAAGCUCUAUUCGUAUCAUUAUUUAUAGAGGAAAACUUCGGUGGUAAUUGAUGGGCAUGCGUCCUAUUAGUUUGUUGGUAAGGUAACGGCUUACCAAGACUACGAUAGGUAGGGGUCCUGAGAGGGAGAUCCCCCACACUGGUACUGAGACACGGACCAGACUUCUACGGAAGGCAGCAGUAAGGAAUAUUGGACAAUGGAGGCAACUCUGAUCCAGC